CACACACAGGGAGAGAAAAUCAAGUUUCUAGGUCAGUCAAACAGCCUGGGAGCUGCUAAAUUUGAAUCCACCAAUCAGAGAGGCUGUGUACUUUUUCCCGCCAAAACAGGUGCAGCCGUUUUUACACACUCAGCACAGAGAGAGACAGGAUUUCUGCAGUGUAUUUCUCAUAGUGAGGAUUCCUCUCAAACAAAUGGCCAUAAUUUCCUAACCGUAGGGGCUAGAACAGUCAUUCUUACACCGUUUUGUUCAGA
This is a long non-coding RNA of Oreochromis aureus, 254 nucleotides long. Lineage: Eukaryota; Metazoa; Chordata; Actinopteri; Cichliformes; Cichlidae. The record is from Ensembl.